This 80-nucleotide non-coding RNA is filed under the name Syntrophotalea acetylenica. RNAcentral describes it as "Pelobacter acetylenicus c-di-GMP sequence". It matches the Rfam family "c-di-GMP-I-GGC riboswitch aptamer". Lineage: Bacteria; Pseudomonadati; Thermodesulfobacteriota; Desulfuromonadia; Desulfuromonadales; Syntrophotaleaceae. The record is from Rfam by way of RNAcentral.
CUCGAAAAAGCCAGAACUUUUGCGAGAAAGUGACGGAAAGCCGCGGGUCUUCCGGGAGGAAGAUGGCCGAGCUGCCGAAG